Molecule: unclassified non-coding RNA, 269 nt
Filed under: Hevea brasiliensis (rubber tree)
Lineage: Eukaryota; Viridiplantae; Streptophyta; Magnoliopsida; Malpighiales; Euphorbiaceae
Source: RNAcentral
GCAGUCCCUCGGGGACCACUUCCUUGCCGAUGCCGUCGCCGGGAAUCACGGCCAGUCUGUACUUCCUGUUGGUCCCGGUGCUGGUGGUCGGCAUUAAAUGUUUCCCCACAUGGUUUUGAGCGCGGUCGAUCCUGCGUCGCCGGGCNUUCUUUGGCGUCCGGACGAACGCGCCAUAGCCAUACAGGAGAGUGCGCGACGGCCAAAAUGCACAAUCGCAACUGGCGGGGAUGUCGAGAAAGCCGCUUGAACAGCGCAAAACAUACGGCGCG